This is a long non-coding RNA of Lolium rigidum, 785 nucleotides long. RefSeq lists it as uncharacterized. The transcript has 2 exons. The record is from RefSeq and is a predicted model, not a curated record. Lineage: Eukaryota; Viridiplantae; Streptophyta; Magnoliopsida; Poales; Poaceae.
AGCAACUUGAUGCUUCAUAUUUCUGUUCAGCUAUGCAACUUAUAAUUCAGUUUCCUUCCUUAUAUUGCAUUUGAAAAAGAGUUUCCUAUUGCUGAGAAAUGCAUGUAAACAAGCUUCAGACAUACUGUCUGUAGAAGCGCUAUACACAGGCGCGAAGCACUAUUCAGGAUUCCAUGGAUAUUGUGAUGUAUUUGAUCUAAGUGAGCCAACUAAUAUUUGUCCCAUUGGUCAGUUUACAUGGUUGGGUUUGUUUUGAUUCUUUUGUUUUUCACAUCAUUACACGCAUACUCCAUUUGUCUUCUUGUUUCAGCUACCAAUCAAGAUUGAAGUGUAUGGAGAGAUGCACAGCCUGGCACAUGCUCAUGCAUGAGCAAAUUCAACUGAGAAAUAACAAGUUCCACAUAGUGCUAUCAAAAGGCAAUCCACCCAUUCCUGCUUCAUUUUUCUUUGCCUUGAAUCAGGGUUGUAUUCAAAUUUUAUGGCUCCCACGCCUGCUCAUAGUUCUAGCCCGGCAAAAGAAUCCUGCCUCGGCCGGUGUUAUUGCAACUUCUUCCACCAUGGAGUGGGCGCCAAAUAAAGCAUUCUAGCUUUAGACAAGCAACACUGAAAUAAUAGAUGUAUCAUUUGAUGGAGAAGACGAGCAUAGCUAAAGUAGGAUCUAUAUAUGGAGGUGGAACUUGGUAUGUAGUAUAUCAACAAAAUUAGCAAAUUUACUGCCCCCAUGUACGCCCCCUGCCGUCAAUGUAUCAUGUAUCAAAUUUCGUUAUGAAUUGCUUUCUACCCUA